This is a long non-coding RNA of Micropterus dolomieu (smallmouth bass), 622 nucleotides long. RefSeq lists it as uncharacterized. The transcript has 2 exons. NCBI's taxonomy places the organism in Eukaryota, Metazoa, Chordata, Actinopteri, Centrarchiformes, Centrarchidae. The record is from RefSeq and is a predicted model, not a curated record.
CAUAAUCCUCUUCGUCGUCGCACAUGAAAUCGUCUUCCAUGUCAGACAUGUUGAUGGUCUUCCUUGGUUUUUUUUCAGGGACAGACAGUAGCCGGGCCUGUGCUGUGUUUUGCAGCAAUGGUGAGGUGGUGUGUCAGGGUGGCAGCAAGCAACAGCCCGAUCCCGUCUAUAGAUGGGGCUAUUGGAUCGCCUCAGAUACAUGAACAGCGUUACUCUGUAUAGCCUAAAGGUUUGACCAGCUGCAGUCCUCUGGAUGAUGUAGCGGAACAUACUUGGCUGCCCUCAGAGAGACCACUGGCAGCAUCACAUCCCACUCUGCCUCACUCAGGGGGUCAUUCCACAUUGAACCAUGUGAAAGAUUUCAUUACUGAAGAAGUUACGUUCCUGUUCCGAAAAUGUACGCAAUCAGCUUGUGUGUCAUCAAGUUAUGUGUCAUAAGUUUAUUUUAAAAAAUGGAUGAGUGUAGGUGAAUAACUCAAGUCCAUCAUCCUGUGCAGUCAGUUUGGCCAUAAUAUUUACAAUAUCCAGACAUGAAUCACCAACCCUAAUACUAGAGGGAAGAACACAUUCACAGACUGAGUUAUGUGACUUUAAAAGAAUAAAAAUUUCCAGAGUAAUAUUA